UAUGGGGGCUAUACCGAAAGUGUUCCACCUGAUACCAUUCCGAACUCAGAAGUGAAAUCUUUCAAGGCCGAUGAUAGUGGGUUUUUCCUGUGAAAGUAGGAAGUCCCCAUAU
This 112-nucleotide ribosomal RNA is filed under the name bacterium. The record is from RNAcentral.